CGAGUGGCGACGGGUGAGUAAUGCGUAGGAAUUUACCUCAAAGCGGGGGAUAGCCCGGAGAAAUCCGGAUUAAUACCGCAUGUGCUCUACGGAGGAAAGCGGGCCUCUUCUUGAAAGCUCGCACUUUGAGAUAAGCCUACGUCGGAUUAGCUUGUUGGUAGGGUAAAAGCCUACCAAGGCGACGAUCCGUAGCUGGUUUGAGAGGAUGAUCAGCCACACUGGGACUGAGACACGGCCCAG
This 240-nucleotide ribosomal RNA is filed under the name uncultured bacterium. RNAcentral's name for it is "partial 16S ribosomal RNA". It matches the Rfam family "Bacterial small subunit ribosomal RNA", at positions 102 to 334 of the family's 1533-position model. The record is from RNAcentral.